RNAcentral lists this ribosomal RNA (495 nucleotides) under uncultured bacterium. Its description in RNAcentral is "partial 16S ribosomal RNA". It matches the Rfam family "Bacterial small subunit ribosomal RNA", at positions 28 to 505 of the family's 1533-position model. The record is from RNAcentral.
GAUGAACGCUGGCGGCGUGCCUAAUACAUGCCAGUCGAGCGAACAGACGAGGAGCUUGCUCCUCUGACGUUAGCGGCGGACGGGUGAGUAACACGUGGAUAACCUACCUAUAAGACUGGGAUAACUUCGGGAAACCGGAGCUAAUACCGGAUAAUAUAUUGAACCGCAUGGUUCAAUAGUGAAAGACGGUUUUGCUGUCACUUAUAGAUGGAUCCGCGCCGCAUUAGCUAGUUGGUAAGGUAACGGCUUACCAAGGCAACGAUGCGUAGCCGACCUGAGAGGGUGAUCGGCCACACUGGAACUGAGACACGGUCCAGACUCCUACGGGAGGCAGCAGUAGGGAAUCUUCCGCAAUGGGCGAAAGCCUGACGGAGCAACGCCGCGUGAGUGAUGAAGGUCUUCGGAUCGUAAAACUCUGUUAUUAGGGAAGAACAAAUGUGUAAGUAACUAUGCACGUCGUGACGGUACCUAAUCAGAAAGCCACGGCUAACUACG